UGACGCUGGCGGCAGGCCUAACACAUGCAAGUCGAGCGGUAACAGAAAGUAGCUUGCUACUUUGCUGACGAGCGGCGGACGGGUGAGUAAUGCUUGGGAACAUGCCUUGAGGUGGGGGACAACAGUUGGAAACGACUGCUAAUACCGCAUAAUGUCUACGGACCAAAGGGGGCUUCGGCUCUCGCCUUUAGAUUGGCCCAAGUGGGAUUAGCUAGUUGGUGAGGUAAUGGCUCACCAAGGCAACGAUCCCUAGCUGGUUUGAGAGGAUGAUCAGCCACACUGGAACUGAGACACGGUCCAGACUCCUACGGGAGGCAGCAGUGGGGAAUAUUGCACAAUGGGCGAAAGCCUGAUGCAGCCAUGCCGCGUGUGUGAAGAAGGCCUUCGGGUUGUAAAGCACUUUCAGUCAGGAGGAAAGGGUGUGAGUUAAUACCUCAUAUCUGUGACGUUACUGACAGAAGAAGCACCGGCUAACUCCGUGCCAGCAGCCGCGGUAAUAC
RNAcentral lists this ribosomal RNA (500 nucleotides) under uncultured marine bacterium. RNAcentral's name for it is "bacterial SSU rRNA". It matches the Rfam family "Bacterial small subunit ribosomal RNA", at positions 33 to 526 of the family's 1533-position model. The record is from RNAcentral.